This 224-nucleotide ribosomal RNA is filed under the name uncultured bacterium. RNAcentral's name for it is "partial 16S ribosomal RNA". It matches the Rfam family "Bacterial small subunit ribosomal RNA", at positions 28 to 217 of the family's 1533-position model. The record is from RNAcentral.
GACGAACGCUGGCGGCAUGCCUAAUACAUGCAAGUCGAACGAGCUUCCGUUGAAUGACGUGCUUGCACUGAUUUCAACAAUGAAGCGAGUGGCGAACUGGUGAGUAACACGUGGGAAAUCUGCCCCAGAAAGCAGGGGGAUAACACUUGGAAACAGGUGCUAAUACCGUAUAACAACAAAAAUCCGCAUGGAUUUUGUUUGAAAGGUGGCUUCGGCUAUCACUU